This 1478-nucleotide unclassified non-coding RNA is filed under the name Hevea brasiliensis (rubber tree). The record is from RNAcentral. Lineage: Eukaryota; Viridiplantae; Streptophyta; Magnoliopsida; Malpighiales; Euphorbiaceae.
AAAGCAAAAUGAAGUGGGUGUUAAGGUUUCCUGAUCAAGGAUUCUUGAAGUUGUUUGCAAAAUCACCUACUGGCCAGUUAGUUUCCUUUAACCUUAUGUUUUAUGGUACGUGCUUCUAUAUAUAGUGCGUCCAUCUUCUCAUAAUCUUCAGUGUUAGGUGAAGACCGUGAAGCAGGUGAAGAGAGGAAGCAAAUUCCCUGAAAGUGUUGGUUGGAGUCUGGAAAGAUACCAUGGAAAUAGCGCAAGUCCUUCACAUGAACAAAGGGGAUGAUGAAACUAGUUAUGCUAAAAAUUCAACAGUCCAGAGCAAGAUAAUAUCUGUUGGAAAACCAGUCAUGGAGGAAGCAAUCCUGGGAAUCUUGUGCACCCAUAUCCCAGAAAGUGUCGGCAUCGCAGACCUGGGUUGCUCCUCCGGACCCAAUGCCUUGCGAGUGAUAUUGGAGAUACUUGAUAUCAUCAACACCAAAUGCCAAGAUCUGGGUUGUCAAUCACCGGAAUUUCGGGUUUCUCUGAAUGAUCUUCCUUGGAAUGACUUCAACAGUAUUUUUAGGUUACUGCCAACGCUGUACCACAAAAUAAAGGAAGAGAAGGGUGGAAGAUUUGGGCCAUGCUUUAUAUCCGCCAUGCCUGGUUCUUUCUAUGGCAGAUUGUUUCCUAGCAGGAGUCUCCACUUUGUGCACUCUUCUUCCAGUCUUCACUGGCUCUCACAGGCUCCACCUAGUCUCAAUUGGAACCAUAGGAUGCCCAUGAACAAAGGAAAGAUCUACAUAUCAAAGACCAGCCCGAGUAGCGUCCUGGAAGCAUACUCUCAGCAAUUUCAGAAGGACUUUUCACUGUUUCUAAAAUCACGUUCAGAGGAAUUAGUUCCUGGAGGCUGCAUGGUAUUGUCAUUCAUGGGCAGGAGAUCCACUGAUCCCACUACUGAUGAGAGUUGCUACCAGUGGGAGCUGCUUGCACGAGCAUUGAUGAGCAUGGUUUCAGAGGGACUUGUUAAGGAGGAAAAAGUUGAUUCUUUCGAUGCUCCUUAUUACGCACCCUGUGCCGAAGAACUAAAGUUGGAAGUAGAAAAAGAAGGGUCAUUCAAUAUUGGUAGACUUGAAGCCUUCGAAAUCGACUGGGAUGGAGGCUCGGAUGAUAAGCAAGCUGCCUUACAAUCUCGUGGAAGGAAGGUGGCUAAGACAAUUAGAGCCGUGGUGGAGUCGAUGCUGGAAUUCCAUUUUGGCGGAGACAUAAUGGAUGAGCUAUUUAAGCGAUAUGGAGAGCUAGUGGAUGAUUAUUUGUCUAAGAACACAACCAAGUACAUCAAUCUGGUCAUUUCCAUGUUUAGAAAGGACUACUAAAAUGGGUUUCACUAGGAGAUUAGAAGGCUUGCAAUGCUCAUGAUCAGUUUGGUCAAUCUUGCAAAGUCUUCUUAUAUGUGCUAAUUUAUAAAUCAAUAUUAUUGCACUUAUUAAUAAAAAAUAUUAUUUAUUGAGCGG